AGUGUAGGCGGCUACGUAAGUCGGAUGUGAAAGCCCUGGGCUUAACCUGGGAAUUGCAUUCGAUACUGCGUAGCUAGAGUCUGAUAGAGGGAAGUGGAAUUCCGGGUGUAGCGGUGAAAUGCGUAGAUAUCCGGAGGAACACCAGUGGCGAAGGCGGCUUCCUGGAUCAAGACUGACGCUGAGGCUCGAAAGCGUGGGGAGCAAACA
RNAcentral lists this ribosomal RNA (207 nucleotides) under uncultured bacterium. Its description in RNAcentral is "partial 16S ribosomal RNA". It matches the Rfam family "Bacterial small subunit ribosomal RNA", at positions 568 to 774 of the family's 1533-position model. The record is from RNAcentral.